CCCUUAGAUGUCCUGGGCCGCACGCCCGUUACACUGAUGCAUUCAACGAGCUUAUAACCUUGGCCGAGAGGCCUGGGCAAUCUUUUAAACCUGCAUCGUGAUAGGGAUAGAUUAUUGCAAUUAUUAAUCUUGAACGAGGAAUUCCUAGUAAACGCAAAUCAUCAAUUUGCAUUGAUUACGUCCCUGCCCUUUGUACACACCGCCCGUCGCACCUACCGAUUGAAUGGUCCGGUGAAGCCUCGGGAUUGUGGCCAGUUCACUUUAUUGGGAGUUGGCUGUGAGAACUUGUCUAAACCUUAUCAUUUAGAGGAAGGUGAAGUCGUAACA
This 327-nucleotide ribosomal RNA is filed under the name uncultured eukaryote. RNAcentral describes it as "partial 18S ribosomal RNA". It matches the Rfam family "Eukaryotic small subunit ribosomal RNA", at positions 1470 to 1796 of the family's 1831-position model. The record is from RNAcentral.